This 433-nucleotide ribosomal RNA is filed under the name uncultured bacterium. RNAcentral's name for it is "partial 16S ribosomal RNA". It matches the Rfam family "Bacterial small subunit ribosomal RNA", at positions 29 to 507 of the family's 1533-position model. The record is from RNAcentral.
AGCGAACGCUGGCGGCAGGCUUAACACAUGCAAGUCGAGCGGACCUUUCGGGGUCAGCGGCGGACGGGUGAGUAACGCGUGGGAACGUGCCUUCCGGUUCGGAAUAACCCUGGGAAACUAGGGCUAAUACCGGAUACGCCCUGAUGGGGAAAGGUUUACUGCCGGAAGAUCGGCCCGCGUCUGAUUAGCUAGUUGGUGGGGUAACGGCCUACCAAGGCGACGAUCAGUAGCUGGUCUGAGAGGAUGAUCAGCCACACUGGGACUGAGACACGGCCCAGACUCCUACGGGAGGCAGCAGUGGGGAAUAUUGGACAAUGGGCGCAAGCCUGAUCCAGCCAUGCCGCGUGAGUGAUGAAGGCCUUAGGGUUGUAAAGCUCUUUUAUCCGGGACGAUAAUGACGGUACCGGAGGAAUAAGCCCCGGCUAACUUCGUG